Molecule: long non-coding RNA, 1047 nt
Organism: Dermochelys coriacea (leatherback sea turtle)
Lineage: Eukaryota; Metazoa; Chordata; Testudines; Dermochelyidae
Exons: 2
Source: RefSeq, a predicted model, not a curated record
GGGCUGUCCAUUGGAAGAGAAGGAGGCACACCGCCAGCUCCUGAGGAGGGACAGCCAACGCUCCAGGGGCCAGCCAAGCAGGGAUGCACCUGGCAUCCCAGAUGGAGGUCCCCCUGCCCCAGAGUGGAGAACACGACAGUGAAGGACAUUUGAGCAACUUUGAAGCUACUCAAACAUGAUCUUGUACAGUGCCAACGUGGAGAGUUGUGCACAUAAGCACAAGGUACAAAGAAAGGAGCAGGACAGUCGGAGAUCACCAGAAACUCUGGCCUGCAUAAGAGCUGAUGCAUAGCUGCCAAGCUACUAGUGCCUAGUAGUUGGAAUAGGACCUAUGAGGAAAAAUAUAUACAAUAGCUCAUUAACCUGAUGAAAAUCAUGCUUAGACCAUGUCUUCCCAGAUGUUCUCCUCUUGUAUCGUGGACGCUUGCAAUUAAGAGUGGGUGUAACAAGAUUAAAGACUUCUACUAAUCAGUGUGGAGGACUACUGGUGGCUCCUUAAUCUUACUUGUGCCUGGCAUUUGUGCUGCAGUAAAACACCCUUGUAUUUCCUGCUUUGUACUAUGUAAGGACUUGUAGGAUCAGGAUUGGGAUGAACAGUGGUGGAGGAAUUCAAUAUUUCUGUGUCUGUUUACUGACUUUGGCUGUAAGCCAUGGUAAUGAGAAGUCUGCAAAAGGCAAGGGAUGAAAUGUGGAAGGGGAUGGAAGGUGAGGAAGGAGAAAGUAAAUAAGAAUCAGACCAGAACACAGAAUGCUCUUGGACAUGCAGCUCUGACUGAAGCUCAUGGGAGGUGAGUAAGAGCUCUUAAGGCACAAUAUGGCCUAUACAUUUUGUCAGUGUUCAAUAAUGCCUGUACUACUUCAGAAAAUGAAGCAACACUUAUUUAUUGAUAUAUAACUUUAUUAUGCACAGACUAAGAUGACAUGACACUGUGGUUAUCAAAACUGUACAACUAAGCAUUUCCCCAAGUCUUCUGAACACACUACUAAAUGGGGUGUUCAGACUGGCCAGAGGGAUUAAUGGAUUCAUUUCUCCCAUUGAUUUUUUUU